CACUAUCCCAGGGUUCUCCAAGCUCCUUCCAGCCUGGCCUUGGACGCUUCCAGAGAUCCAGGGGCAGCCACAGCUUCUCUGGGCAAACUCUUCCAAGAGCUGUAUCCAAAAAGAUCACUGAUGUCGGAAUCUGUGGGUAUUGGUGAUUCCGAGAUUGUAGAAAGUCUCUGUCUUUCUGCCCCGUUGCCAAAGAAGAAGCCAUAAUUGGUCUGUGCUGUUUCAAGGUUGUUUAUUCUGUUUAUCUCUAACAUGUUCUGCUGCCCUGCCGCAGCUCUGUCCUGCAGGGCAGCGUGUGGGGCUCUGCCCCUCAGUGGGAUGGUACAAACAUUAAAUACCAGAAAUUACGUGUGCUAUAUUUACAAUAAUGUGCCAAUAUCUGUCACCUACGUUAAACAGCGUGUCCCCAGCCUAAACCAACAGAAAAAUGCCAACACUGCAGUGAAACAUGGAGGGCAUGAAGAAGGAGAAAAAGGACAAGACACACCCAAUUUCCUCCAUCUUGUUCCCUCUGAACCCCUAAUCUAGAAACCCAAAAUUUUACUUCUGCACCCGUGCCACACUUAAUUAUUACUCUUAUCAAACACUCAAAGCUUGUAAUUCGUCCUGUAAGAUUGAAAACUCUUUUCCAUGGACAGAGAUCACAGACAGUGUCUCUGGGGGCUCUGUCCAGGGGGGUUCCUGACCCCUGCCAGGGUCCCAGACCUGCCAGGGCAGCCAGAGGGAAUCCCUGGAUUCCCACAACUGAGAUGUCUGCGUGCACUUUGCAGGUGAAUCCCUCACUUGGGCAAGGAGGUGAGCUCUUCUCCGCUGACUCUUGCAGGGAAAUGUUCCCCAAAAGAGACCAUAAAGACUGCCUAUGUUACUGCAGGCUAGAGAAACCCGUAAAACGGUGACACACAGCUGAAGGGGAAGAAUAUUUCGGGAAGGGAAUCAUAUGGACAGGCUGGUAAACGCAGGGCUUUGAAAGGGGAUGGGGCGGGACAGGAAGAACAUUCCUUCCCCGCUACGAACGCCUCGGGGAGCAUCCGCCGGGGCCGGCCGCGCUGCUCCUGGUGCUCCUGAUGAGCUGCAUCAGCUCAUCCCAGCCCACCACCACGGAUGGAGAGCCAUGAGGUGCCCGGAAAGAGGCGGCCUGAGCCCCAGAUGCUCCGGCUGGAGGUCGCCACCAGUGUCGGGCGCGGUGGCCGCAGGCAGCGGGGUCACCUCGGCCUGUGGGCACCGCCGGGCUGCGCGCACGGAGGCUGAGGGAGAGCGGAGCGUGGUGCUGCAGCGUCGGAAUCUGAGACCAUGGUGUCCAAAUCAGCCCUUGUCCUGGUUGUGCUGCUCCUCUUCCACUUCCCACAUCCCAUGGUGAAUUGGUUCCAUGAGGAUGUGCAGCACCGUGUGGAGGAGCGGAAACAAUCCCCCCCCAGAGGCACCUGAGCCUGGCAGGGGACCCCAGCUCCUAGGGGACCCCAGCUCCUGGCUGCCUUGCAGCAGCUGCAGAGCUUCUGGGGAAUUGCUCAGCUGCUGUUCCUGCCUUUGGAGCUGUGGCUAAGGCACAGAAGGGCAGCCAAGAGGCAGAGAGCAGCGGCCCGGAGAGCUGAAGAAGAGGCAAGAAGGAGGAAGAUGGAAAUCGAGCGGAGAAUGCGGCUUCUUGAGAAGAGAUACAGUGACAUGGAACAAAUGCGCAGGGCCGUGAAAGAAAUAAAAAGCAAAUGGCCAGGCUGAUUUGAAUGAAUAGGGAUACAAACUGGAUGGUGAAGGUAGGCUUGGCAGGCUUUGGAGGAGCAUAGGCAGCAGCCUGUGUGAAGGAAAGCUUCCUGCUGGAGAUGCUCUUUGGGCUGGCCAAGGCGAGCCACACAUCUUUGUGAGCAGCCAGCCCACAGAGCUGCGCUUGCUGCCGAGCACAGCCUGUGCUGGGGCAGAGGCUCAGGGCUCCUGCCAGACCCUGCCCCCCUUCCCUCUAUCUCUUCAUUGUUAUAUUAAUAUAUUAUUCUAUAUUAACUGCAUCUGUUAAUGAUUUUCCCUGCUGCAACAUUGCACUUGCUCCUGGAUGGAGGUGUUUGAAGGAGGAUUGGGCCAGAUUGAUGGGCACUGAUUUAACUUCUUGUUUAGUUAAGAAAUAAUUUGGGUAUUUUAUUAUUUUCUCCUAGAAUUACUUUAUUUUAUAGUAAUACUAUUGUUAAUUAUAGUAGUAAUUAUAACAGGAACAAAUACUAAUCCUGUGAAAACAAUUUUACAUUCUACCAUAUAGUAAUUAUCAUUCAUAGUAAUAAUUUCUGCGAAUUAUGUGAAUAAACCACAAUUGAAGGAUGUUAAAUUUUUACCAUACCGAGUAAUUUUUCAUAAUCUUCAGUAUUCAAAAAACCUUGUCAUUGUAUAAAUUCAUAUAUAAUUUAUAACAGUGCAGAAAGUAAUUCUUAACAUAAGGAUGAUUAUAACUGUGAUUUGUUAUUGAAAAUGUUUAAAAUAUGUGAUAUUUUUUUCAAAGUGAUGCUGCCUGCCUUCCCUUCUUUGGGAACCCUUUUCCCUCUGGGAGCUGCAGUCAGUGCAAAGUUCCAAUAAAGAUGGUGCUUGAACAAACAGUGUAUCUGUGAGCGUCCAGAGUGACCUCCAAGGCCAUCCAGUUCUAUUGUAAAUGCAGGUGAACCCAAUGGGAAGAAUGAUAAUGUCUG
Molecule: long non-coding RNA, 2657 nt
Filed under: Taeniopygia guttata (zebra finch)
Lineage: Eukaryota; Metazoa; Chordata; Aves; Passeriformes; Estrildidae
Description: lncRNA (ENSTGUG00000020779.1)
Source: RNAcentral